This 183-nucleotide microRNA precursor is filed under the name Oryza nivara. RNAcentral's name for it is "MIR812 microRNA precursor family". It matches the Rfam family "MIR812 microRNA precursor family". The record is from Rfam by way of RNAcentral. Lineage: Eukaryota; Viridiplantae; Streptophyta; Magnoliopsida; Poales; Poaceae.
AAUAAGUGUAGUUUUGCAAUAUUCAUCUUCAACAUUUAACUGUUCGUCUUUUGUGAAAAAAUUUUAUAAUUACUAUUUUUAUUGUUAUUAGAUGAUAAAAUAUGAAUAGUACUUUAUGUGUGACUAUUUUUUAAAAAAACCAUAAACAAACGUUGGACAUGAAUUUCCACGGCUGCAUUUAUU